UGAAUACGAGACGCUAAGGCGUCGAAGUAGUGUAUGUCAUACUUCCAAGAAAAGCUUGCACUGUCAUAAGUAAAAAAUGCCUGUACCAUAACCGACACAGGUGGGUAGGUAGAGUAUACUAAGGGGCGCGAGAUAACUCUCUCUAAGGAACUCGGCAAAAUAACUCCGUAACUUCGGGAGAAGGAGUACCUUAUUCUAUAAGGUUGCAAUAACAAGAUCCAAGCAACUGUUUAUCAAAAACACAGGUCUCCGCUAAGUCGUAAGACGAUGUAUGGGGGCUGACGCCUGCCCAGUGCCUAAGGUUAAAGAAGUCGGUUAGCAUUAGCGAAGCUGGUAACUGAAGCCCUGGUAACGGCGGCCGUAACAAUAACGGUCCUAAGGUAGCGAAAUUCCUUGUCGGGUAAGUUCCGACCCGCACGAAAGGCGUAAUGAUUUGGAUACUGUCUCGGAGAGGGGCUCGGUGAAAUAGACUUGUCUGUGAAGAUGCGGACUACCUGCACCAGGACAGAAAGACCCUAUGAAGCUUUACUGUAACUUGAAAUUGAAAUUGGACUUUAUUCGCGCAGUAUAGGUGGGAGGUGUUGAUUAUAAUCUUGCGGGAUUAUUGGAGCCAUCAGUGAGAUACCACUCUUGUAAUGUUAGAUUUCUAACUUUGAAUCAUUAUCUGGUCAAAGGACAGUUUCAGGCGGGCAGUUUGACUGGGGCGGUCGCCUCCCAAACGGUAACGGAGGCGUACAAAGGUUUCCUCUGAACGGGUAGAAAUCGUAUCUAGAGUGUAAAGGCAUAAGGAAGCUUGACUGUGAGACCUACAAGUCGAACAGGGACGAAAGUCGGUCUUAGUGAUCUGACGGUACUGAGUGGAAAGGCCGUCACUCAACGGAUAAAAGUUACUCUAAGGAUAACAGGCUGAUCUCCCCCAAGAGUUCACAUCGACGGGGAGGUUUGGCACCUCGAUGUCGGCUCAUCGCAUCCUGGGGCGGUAGUACGUCCCAAGGGUUGGGCUGUUCGCCCAUGAAAGCGGUACGCGAGCUGGGUUCAGAACGUCUUGAGACAGUUCGGUCCAUAUCCGGUGUAGGCGUUAGAAUAUUGAGAGGAGCCUUCUUUAGUACGAGAGGACCGAGAAGGACAUACCUCUGGUGUACCAGUUAUCGUGCCAACGGUAAACGCUGGGUAGCUAUGUAUGGAGUGGAUAACCGCUGAAAGCAUCUAAGUGGGAAGCCCACCUCAAGAUAAGUAUUCUC
RNAcentral lists this ribosomal RNA (1241 nucleotides) under metagenome. RNAcentral's name for it is "bacterial LSU rRNA". It matches the Rfam family "Bacterial large subunit ribosomal RNA", at positions 1564 to 2815 of the family's 2925-position model. The record is from RNAcentral.